Molecule: ribosomal RNA, 440 nt
Filed under: uncultured bacterium
Lineage: Bacteria
Description: partial 16S ribosomal RNA
Rfam family: Bacterial small subunit ribosomal RNA
Source: RNAcentral
CCUACGGGUGGCAGCAGUGGGGAAUAUUGCACAAUGGGGGAAACCCUGAUGCAGCGACGCCGCGUGAGUGAAGAAGGCAUUCGUUAUGUAAAACUCUAUCAGCAGGGAAGAAAAUGACGGUACCUGAGUAGGAAGCCCCGGCUAACUACGUGCCAGCAGCCGCGGUAAUACGUAGGGGGCAAGCGUUAUCCGGAUUUACUGGGUGUAAAGGGGGCGUAGACGGCAGUGCAAGUCUGAGGUGAAAGGCGGGGGCUCAACCCCCGGACUGCACUGGAAACUGUAGGGCUGGAGUGCAGGAGAGGUAGGCGGAAUGCCUAGUGUAGCGGUGAAAUGCGUAGAUAUUAGGAGGAACACCAGUGGCGAAGGCGGCUUACUGGACUGUAACUGACGUUGAGGCUCGAAAGCGUGGGGAGCAAACAGGAUUAGAUACCCCAGUAGUC